AUGUAUGUGCAGGGUAAAGCUGGUGUAGAGCACACAAGGUCUUGCCGUUGCGAGUGCUCAGCUCUAAUGAGACUUCUGAGGACCAAGGAUAACGGAUGGUACAUUGUAGAACAUAGAAAAAGUCACAGCCACUCGCUUUCGCCAAACUUCGUCGAGACAAUGCACUGGCCUUCGCACAAGCACAUUGAUGUGUACAACAGGGAUUUUAUAAAGCAGUUGAGGCAGAACGAUGUGAACCUUGUGAAGUAGUACAACAUCGCAGGAGAGUUCUUUGGGUCGAUGGAAAAUGUGUCGUUUGCAAAGAGGUCUUUAUAGAGUCUGCGUGGGAAGAUAAAUAGGGGGCAGUCAGACGAUCGUGUCAGGAAGAGGAUGGAGGUGUUUGCAGAAAUUGGUGCAAAGGAUCCACAUUUCACUUAGAGAAUUCAGGCUGACAAUGAAGGAAGCAUCAGAAACCUAAUGUGGGAGAGUGGAAGCGGCCGCUUCAUCCUGGCAGGGGUGCUAGUACCUGAUGAGACUGCUAAAUGUUUCGAGUGGGUGUUCUCAGAAUUUCUGAGAAUGAUGGGUGGUACAACGCCUGAUGACAAUACUUACUGGUAUGCUUUAUUCAACUGCUGUGGCAAAUGGAAAAUGUGGAUACCAUUAAUUUGGUGUUAUCAUAGUAACUAG
RNAcentral lists this ribosomal RNA (666 nucleotides) under Triticum aestivum (bread wheat). Its description in RNAcentral is "partial small subunit ribosomal RNA". The record is from RNAcentral. Lineage: Eukaryota; Viridiplantae; Streptophyta; Magnoliopsida; Poales; Poaceae.